This 3152-nucleotide long non-coding RNA is filed under the name Homo sapiens (human). RNAcentral's name for it is "non-protein coding lnc-MCUR1-2:2". The record is from RNAcentral. Lineage: Eukaryota; Metazoa; Chordata; Mammalia; Primates; Hominidae.
GAGAGAGGGAUGGAGGAAGAGGACCUAGAGGAUGAAUUUAAUAUAAUUUGCACAAGUGAUUUUGCUCCCAAUUCCACUCAGUGAACUUAGUUAAUUCUUUUAAACAGUAACAUUCAUUGGCUGUUAAGUAAAACAGGAGAGAACACAAUAAAUUUAUGAUAUUUUGAGAAGCUAUGCCAGUUCUCAAGCAUUCAGAGAAACAAGCUUGGCUUUUAUGAGGUAAUUAUGAUUUAGUGUUUUCUCUCGCCCUGUUGAGUCUGUGGGCUGCCUGUAAAAUGGAUCUGGAAUGAAUGUCAAAGUCAGGAUUUACAGUCAAACAUUUUCAACAUAUAAAGUACAGGAGAAGUUUAUUGUUUUGUUGGGGUUUUUUUUUUUCUAAGCAAUAUUUCCUUCUGCAUUUGUGUGCUGUUAGGUUUUGUAGGAUUUCUCCCCUCCCAUUUGAAAUGGUAUCUAUAAAUUACUUUUCCUGAUAAGGCUGCAGUAUCAUCAAAAAGUGAUGGUCUUUGCAAGCAAUCGUGACAAAGCAUGUCAAUUUAAAUCAUUUCUUUCUCUUCCUCUCACUCUUUUUUCCUCUUACCUUCAACAGGAAACUAUCAUUUCAAUGUUUCCACCCUUUCAGAAAUGAGCAGGAAUUGACUAAGCUUGAUGAGUUUGAGGUAUAAGAGAUCUUCAUGCUCCUUCCUUCUACCAUCUUUUUCCCCUGUUCUCUCUUUGAAAUAAAAACUGUGUUUGGAUGUUACCUUCAGGGAGAGCAGACUCUGGGAUCAUCAGGCUCCAAGGCUUUCCGCCCUUACUCUCCCGUUAACAUGCUGGGAUUGACACCACCUUUGCAAAAAUUAUGACGGUGAGAAAAAUCUGACAUAGGAAAAUUAUGUCAGUUAAAGAGAUCUGACCUGACCAACUCCAUCUUGCUCAUAACCUCCAAGCUGCCCUUGUUCAUUUUGGGGCAUAGGCUGAACUAACUUUGGGAAGAAUUUCAUUUAUAGCUUAACUUUGAAACAACUAUGAUAACAGCCCUUUCCCUGAAAUGAACCCCCUCUUUGCUUGGGGAACAGACCAUUUUUGUAAAACCAACAAAUUUGCCACAAGAUUAGAAAUUAUGGCUCAGGAGUCAUGCAGCCAGAGGCCACAAGAUUCCUAACCUCCCCAGGCACUCUUAUGAAUAACAUCACUAUUGUAAAACCUAAGAUUGGUGUUCAAGAUAUUUUUCAGACCCUGCAUUCUGAUGGACCAGCUGGCACCACCCAGACCAGUAAUCUGGGUCAACCUGUUCUGCGAUCCUAUCCAGGAACAGAAGAUAGCAGGAAGAACCUGCUUUGACCCUCUGUGAUUUCAUCUCUGACCCAACCAAUCAGCACUCCCCAUUCCCUCGCCCCCUGCCUGCCAAACUAUCUUUAAAAAACACUAGCCUUGGCUGGGUGCUGUGGCUCAUGGCUGUAAUCCCAGCACUUUGGGAGGCCAAGGCAGGUGGAUCACCUGAAGUUGGGAGUUCGAGACCAGGCUUGCCAACAUGGUGAAACACCAUCUCUACUAAAAAUACAAAAAUUAGCUGUGUGUGGUGGCAGGCGCCUGUAAUCCCAACUAUUUGGGAGUCUGAGGCAGGAGAAUCGCUUGAACCCGGGAGGCGGAGGUUGCAGUGAGCCAAGAUCGUGCCACUGCACUCCAGCCUGGGCAACAGGAGUGAAAUUCCAUCCCAAAAAAACCAAACCAAAACAAAACAAACAAAACCCUAGCCUCUGAAUUUUCAGGGAGGUUGAUUUGAGUAAUAAUAAAACUCCAGUCUCCCAGUUAGCCAGCUCUACCUGUCUUAAACUCUUUCUCUAUUAGAAUUCCCCAGUCCUGAUAAAUAAGCUUAAUCUGGGCAGCGGGUAAAAUGAACCCAUCAGGCAGUUACAGGAUCUUAGGCAGUUGUUACUGAACUGAACUUGGGUCCACUUACCCAACAUGAAAAAAAAAAAAAGCCAAACACUGACACUGAAGUUUGCAGCAAAAGAAACUGAGGCAUUUAUUGCAGAGUUCCAAGCAAGGAAGAUUGGGCAGCUCACACUUAAGAUCCAAACUCCCCAGUGGUUUACAAGCAAGAGUUUUCAAGGGCAGGGGUACAUUUCAGGAAAGCAGAAGUUACAGGCAAAAUAGUAAAUCAAUACGUAGAGGUUAAACAUUGGUUUGGCCCAAAAAGGCAGGAUAUCUUGAAGACAGGGCUUAUAGGUCAUACGUGGAUUCAGAGAUUCUUUGAUUUGCAAUUGGUGAAGGGAGCAAGGCUUCGUCUAAAAACUUAGGGUCGGUAGGAAGCAAUGUUAAUUAAGGGUUUGGCCUGAGGGUGCGACUCUCUUGAAGCCCGUCAGGAAGAAAUUUAGAACAACAAACACUGGUCAGUCCUCACUGCCCCAUUAUCUGAGCUCUAUGUGACAGCAGUUGGCAUUUUCCACCUGAUGGGGGUCUGGGUAUCUGAAAAGCGACUCAAUAACAUAUGCUAAGAUAUGAUCAUUAGAGUCACAAAUCACCUUGUGACUCUAACUUGCUUGAGACACUAUUGCUUAAAUUAUUACUAUCUUCUUGCUUAUUAGGAUGUUCAUUAACUUCUCAAGGCUAGGUAGGUGCCUGGAAUUUUCCUUGAAAAAAACUCAAGAUUUUUCCUUUAUUUCUCUGGAGGCCUCUAAGAGGGGUCCCUGCUCCAUCUCGCAGUCACCUUGCCUCUAGGAACCCCCACCCCCGUUUCUUAAUUUGUCAGAUAAGGCAGUGAGUGGUUUCAAAGUCCUCUUCCAACUCUAAAAUGUUAAGAUUACCUACAUAUGGCCCAAUAGUAUUACAUUAGGUCAACUUGGUAUUUGCAUGUUUGUCUUCAGAGGUAACAGAGAUAGAGGGGAGGGAAUGAUGUGACAAAGACUCUGAUCUUUUUUUUUUUCUCAGACAGAGUCUCACUGUCACCAAGGCUGGAGUGCAGUGUCGCGACCUUGGCUCACUGCGAGCUCCGCCUCACAGGUUCAUGCCAUUCUCCUGCCUCAGCCUCCCGAGUAGCUGGGACUACAGGCGCCCACCACCUCGCCCUGCUAAUUUUUUGUAUUUUUAGUAGAGACAGGGUUUCACCGUGUUAGCCAGGAUGGUCUCGAUCUCCUGACCUCAUGAUCCACCUGCCUCGGCCUCCAAAAGUG